Molecule: ribosomal RNA, 401 nt
Filed under: uncultured Chlorodendrales
Lineage: Eukaryota; Viridiplantae; Chlorophyta
Description: partial small subunit ribosomal RNA
Rfam family: Eukaryotic small subunit ribosomal RNA
Source: RNAcentral
GCUUGUCUCAAAGAUUAAGCCAUGCAUGUCUAAGUAUAAACUGCUUUAUACUGUGAAACUGCGAAUGGCUCAUUAAAUCAGUUAUAGUUUAUUUGAUGGUACUUACUUACUCGGAUAACCGUAGUAAUUCUAGAGCUAAUACGUGCGUAAAUCCCGACUUCUGGAAGGGACGUAUUUAUUAGAUAAAAGGCCGACCGAGCUUGCUCGUCUCUUGGUGAAUCAUGAUAACUUCACGAAUCGCAUGGCCUCGCGCCGGCGAUAUUUCAUUCAAAUUUCUGCCCUAUCAAUUGGCGAUGGUAGGAUAGAGGCCUACCAUGGUGUUAACGGGUGACGGGGGAUUAGGGUUCGAUUCCGGAGAGGCAGCCUGAGAAACGGCUACCACAUCCAAGGAAGGCAGCAGG